Molecule: long non-coding RNA, 1233 nt
Filed under: Ursus maritimus (polar bear)
Lineage: Eukaryota; Metazoa; Chordata; Mammalia; Carnivora; Ursidae
Description: lncRNA (ENSUMAG00000025461.1)
Source: RNAcentral
GCUCUGCAAAAUCCUGGUCCCGUUAGCUAGAGAGGGUUGUGGAAACAAAUGAACCUGGUUCACUGACUUGGCCUCUAAUCCCAGACUGAGGUUUACCCGAAGGGCGACAGACCAAGUUCCCUUCUAUCUCUGGACAUGUCUCUAGCCCGGACGCCGCCCAUCUCCAUCACCGAAUCCCACGCUUGCCCACCACCAUGGCCAGCAGUUCAUUAGAGGGGACCCAACUACUUCAAUCGGAAAUGGAGGCGGACAUCUCUUAAUCGAAGUAGCCUUGUUGAGCCGACAGAUUGACAGCCAAGGCAGAGCUCACCACCACCAGGAGGAAGUUUACUGCCUCACAGGUGCCAUCUGACGGUAGCAGCUGAACGGAACCUUAGUAGGUCUUUUGUGACAGCUUUGAGCGCCACUGAAAAUAAGCUUCGCACAAAUUGCUUUUUCUUAGUUCGAUGCUCCGGUUGUCCAAGGGUUCACUGUUGAAUUUUAUUGAUAAUGGAUUGAUGGUAAAGGUUGUUGAUUCACACAUGACCUCGGUUCCAGCCCAGUUCUUCAUUCUGGUCUUCUUAUCAAUCUGCCACGCUACUGGCUUAAACCCAGAUGGUCCUUGUAAGGUGGCCACUCUACUGAACACAGCUGGCUGUUACUGACGGUUACUACUUCGGAGCUACAAUUCUUCCGUCUGUCAUCCAUCCCAGAGACCAAAUCAGUAAGACAUGGAAUCUUCAUCAGUCAAGAGCCAAGUACUUUGAAGUAUUCAUAUAUACCAGCUGCAAGAAACAUACCACGGCUACACUUAAACCUAAACACGUGGACCGCAUGAUAUUACUGCUAAAUUGGAUUUAUUAAGGUUCACAAUUUCUUGGAGGCAACUAUAUGUAUUUAGGCAAUUUCUAGGAUGAUAGAAAGUAAAAAAAGGAGGAUAUCUAAACUGAUGCUUUCAUUUUUUUUAGUAAUUGAUUUUCUAAAAGAAUAGGACUUACUCUGUCUAUUUUUAAACUAGGAUGUAUGUUUUGAGUUGAUUUUCCGAUAACGGAGAUGAGUUUUCCUCAAUACAUGUGUGUAAUGGUUCUAUGAAUAAUAGCACACAUUGGCGAGAGAGCUGGCCAAGGCGAGAAGAAUGUUCAUUCACGUAAAGGUAAUAUGGUCAGAUCACAAUGAACUUGUGGAAAGUUCACAGUAGCACCAUGUUAUACCCAAACCAUACGAAUAAAUCUGAAUGUGGAAUAAUUAUACUCA